This is a long non-coding RNA of Nicotiana tabacum (common tobacco), 1062 nucleotides long. RefSeq lists it as uncharacterized. Lineage: Eukaryota; Viridiplantae; Streptophyta; Magnoliopsida; Solanales; Solanaceae. The record is from RefSeq and is a predicted model, not a curated record.
CGUGCUUGUUUAUAUUAAUAAAAGCAACUCUCUGUAUUUGGCCGAAUUAUUUUGCCCUAAAAUAUCCCGCUCUUUCCAGGUUUUACCACCUCUACAAUAGAUCCCAUCCUCCCUCUUCUCUAAAAUUUGGCUCUUCUUGUAACUAGGAAGCAAAUUAGUGUGGGUUUUGUGGAAAUCUCUGAUGGAGGCGCUACAUCUCAUCUAGUCUCUCUUCUAAAAAGUCAAAGCUCUCUUUUCGUCUGGGUUCUGCGGCCAUCAGUUGCAAUUGGGAAUUUUGAUUUUUGGGCUUACAGUCGUUGUUGAUCUUCAUUUUUCGAAAGCUUGUCAAAUAUCUUUGGUGAGGCGAACAAAGCUUUCAUUUUCAGGUAUAAUCUUCCAUCUCAGUUAUUUCAGUUUCUUUGUAAUACUUCAACUAUUUAAUUACAUCUUCCUAACAUUGCUAAUAUAUGAUUCCAUCAGUUUCUUUAAGAUUGCUAGGUGAAGUCGGGUGUUCUCUCUAGUAAUGGCAGAAUUCUUGAGAAAAUUGACAAGACGCCAGUCACUAUUGCAGAUUUUGGAGUGCAUGCUUAAGUUAAAAAUAUUUGUGUCAUAAUUUUGAACAAGCUAAACUCCUGCCCUACAAGCUUUUAGUAGAAGACAAUUUGUUUAAUUGUUACGAACUUAAUGAUUGUCCUAAGUUUCAGACUAUUCUUUGUUAAAUUGUUUUUUCCCUAUUGCCAUCUUGGUUCUUUGAUGUAUGUUCAAUAAUAUUUUUUUACUUUAUUUAGUAUUGAAUUCUAGGUUGUUGGUUCUACAUCCACGUACAGAAGAAAUGGAUAUUGGUAAAUUUAGUCGAGAGCACAAAGCAGAGAAAUGUACUCUACGUUAGGAAAUUCUGGUGAGCAAUUGGAAAUGGUGGCCAAAAGACAAUUUGAUGAAGACUUUGGACAAUUUUGAUUUUUGUUAUUUCUGAUACUAUAGUGAUACAUUUGCUUUUGUAAAGUUAAUUUCUAGCAUGCACCUUGAAAUAUUUGCAUUUUUUGUUGAUGUAUUAUACGAGAUUUAUUCCCGUUUUGAAGUUCA